Molecule: ribosomal RNA, 301 nt
Filed under: uncultured bacterium
Lineage: Bacteria
Description: partial 16S ribosomal RNA
Rfam family: Bacterial small subunit ribosomal RNA
Source: RNAcentral
CAGUAGCCGCGGUAAUACGAAGGGUGCAAGCGUUACUCGGAAUUACUGGGCGUAAAGCGUGCGUAGGUGGUGGUUUAAGUCCGUUGUGAAAGCCCUGGGCUCAACCUGGGAAUUUCAGUGGAUACUGGGUCACUAGAGUGUGGUAGAGGAUAGUGGAAUUUCCGGUGUAGCAGUGAAAUGCGUAGAGAUCGGAAGGAACAUCUGUGGCGAAGGCGACUAUCUGGGCCAACACUGACACUGAGAGACGUAAGCUAGGGGAGCAAAUGGGAUUAGAUACCCCGGUAGUCCCUGUCUCUUAUAC